GGGCUCAUAGCUCAGCCUGGUUAGAGCGACGGCCUCUUAAUUCAAAAAGAGUAAGCCGUAGGUCACGGGUUCGAAUUGGUCAAAAGGUUUGUUGAACCUUGUCCAACGAAAGUCCCGCUGAGCCCG
This 126-nucleotide transfer RNA is filed under the name Candidatus Woesearchaeota archaeon. RNAcentral describes it as "tRNA-Lys". It matches the Rfam family "tRNA". Rfam says of the family: Transfer RNA (tRNA) molecules are approximately 80 nucleotides in length. Their secondary structure includes four short double-helical elements and three loops (D, anti-codon, and T loops). The record is from RNAcentral. Lineage: Archaea; Nanobdellati; Candidatus Woesearchaeota.